UAGGGAAUCUUCGGCAAUGGGGGCAACCCUGACCGAGCAACGCCGCGUGAGUGAAGAAGGUUUUCGGAUCGUAAAGCUCUGUUGUAAGAGAAGAACGUGUGUGAGAGUGGAAAGUUCACACAGUGACGGUAACUUACCAGAAAGGGACGGCUAACUACGUGCCAGCAGCCGCGGUAAUACGUAGGUCCCGAGCGUUGUCCGGAUUUAUUGGGCGUAAAGCGAGCGCAGGCGGUUUAUUAAGUCUGAAGUUAAAGGCAGUGGCUUAACCAUUGUUCGCUUUGGAAACUGUUAAGCUUGAGUGCAGAAGGGGAGAGUGGAAUUCCAUGUGUAGCGGUGAAAUGCGUAGAUAUAUGGAGGAACACCGGUGGCGAAAGCGGCUCUCUGGUCUGUAACUGACGCUGAGGCUCGAAAGCGUGGGGAGCAAACAGG
RNAcentral lists this ribosomal RNA (429 nucleotides) under bacterium. RNAcentral's name for it is "partial 16S ribosomal RNA". It matches the Rfam family "Bacterial small subunit ribosomal RNA", at positions 355 to 776 of the family's 1533-position model. The record is from RNAcentral.